Long non-coding RNA from Corapipo altera (White-ruffed manakin), 838 nucleotides. RefSeq lists it as uncharacterized. NCBI's taxonomy places the organism in Eukaryota, Metazoa, Chordata, Aves, Passeriformes, Pipridae. The record is from RefSeq and is a predicted model, not a curated record. The transcript is spliced from 2 exons.
CCUUCCAACCCUAACAAUUCUGUGAUUCUGUGAUUCUUUAAAUCAAGAGCACAUAGAUUUUCCUGCAAGUGUAAUCAUACCCAAACAAAAAACAUUUAGAAUAAAUUUUAGGUCACAUCCUUGUCAUAGGUUUUCUUUUUUUUUUUUUUUUCAUUAGCUUCUGGUAAUUUUUUCACACCAACUGCUUGGCUAAGGGUGGAGACAAGUUUUUCAGGUUUUGGUGAUUGCUCAGCUUAGACGUUAAUGACUGCCUUGUUGAUAUGCUAAGCAACUCCUCUGGGCAAGAGGCAGGACUCUUUUGUUUCCCUCUAGCCGAGGUCAGGAGUGGGGGUUUGGUAUUCUUUUUUCUCUGCCUCAGGGGGGAAGGACGGGGUUACGGGCAGAACUUGGGGGGUGAGUGUGGCGGGUGGAGAAAAAAAAGCUCCAUUCAUUCCGGCUGCUUUUGGGCCCCAGCUCACCUCUGUUUUCCUCUCACUCCCUGUCCUGCCCACUGUCGGCUAGCUCAGCUCGGAUUUCAUCGGAGCUGCCAAGAACCAGGGGAGCUCCAUUUGGUUUCUCCAGUGAGAGAGCGCCCCUGCAGGACGGCACCCACCUCUGCUGUCACGGAGACUGCCAGCAUCUUAGCCCUCAGUCUAAAAAGAAGCAACUGAGGAUAGAGGUCCACAAAAGCAUGACACCCUGCAUCUGCCAGGCAACUUGGAAAAGGCAUUUGGAGCUGACUGUCCAGGAAGGGCAUUGUAACAUCAAUCAUAGAAGAAGUAAUUUGAUGAGCCAAGGUCUUCAGGGAGAGAUAAUGUCUCAUUAAAUCAAACACUAUACUUGAGGAAGAGAUGACAAA